RNAcentral lists this ribosomal RNA (253 nucleotides) under uncultured bacterium. Its description in RNAcentral is "partial 16S ribosomal RNA". It matches the Rfam family "Bacterial small subunit ribosomal RNA", at positions 524 to 776 of the family's 1533-position model. The record is from RNAcentral.
UACGUAGGGGGCAAGCGUUGUCCGGAUUUAUUGGGCGUAAAGAGCGUGUAGGCGGCUAGGUAGGUCCGUUGUGAAAACCCGAGGCUCAACCUCGGGACGUCGGCGGAAACCAUCUGGCUAGAGUCCGGAAGAGGAGAGUGGAAUUCCCGGUGUAGCGGUGAAAUGCGCAGAUAUCGGGAAGAACACCCGUGGCGAAGGCGGCUCUCUGGGACGGUACUGACGCUGAGACGCGAAAGCGUGGGGAGCGAACAGG